GGCAUGCAUGUAACCCUCAAGUAAAGAAGUAUCCCUGAUUUCUGUUUCUUGCACAAGACGACUUGCCUUUUAAAAAAAUGUAAUCGGUGCUCUUUAAAUGAAUGAAUCGAGCCGUCUACUCACUGCAGAAAACAUUCAUGUAUAGUAAGCAGGACACGGGACACUUGAGACGCAGUCAUCCCUCUGCCACCGUACCUCCCCCAUCUCAUCUAUAUAAAGCCUUCCAGUCCUGGGGAAGCAGUCGGGGGUGAGGGUGAAGCAGGGAGCAGCAAGCGUUAUUUAUGCUGGUUUUGGGCCUGUACCGCCCAUACGAGGAGGGAAGCAGAACCGGAGCAGCCACCGGUUGGCUCGGUUUCUUUCGACACUACUCCCCAUCCCGGCUGGUGGGCUUUGGUGCUGUGCGUCCUGAGGAGGGGAAGCAGCCCGCUCACGUGAAUGACGAAAGAGCGAAACGCGGCUGUGAUAACAGACCGACAAAAUGUCGCGUCGGGGAUUUAUCUCUUAAGGACGUUAAACCGGUCCGACUGUUCACCUGCUUCAUGGGGCGACGGAAGGAGCGGGAGCGCCGUGCGUCCACGCGGCCACAGGGGGCGGUGAUGUCGGCCAUUAUCCCAAACAGAGGACUCCGUGUUUAAGCGAACAGAGACGUUCUGCGUACUCGGAAAACUCUACGAAAUAACUCAGCGAGGCCUGUUCGCCGUAAAUGUGGCGGCGGGUUGAAUCUCGUGUUGGAUUUUAACCGAUCGAACAGUUUAUUUCCGUGCACGAGAGGCCCCCAAAUCCCCGCGCAUGUUAAAGAUACAUUUGACUGUUUCUGGUGGCAGUUAUAAAUAUAGAAAUCACAGACUCCGACUCCAUUGAUGGUUUAGAGUUUCACAGACGCUACCUACCUCGUAGUGCUUCAUCUUGGCAGUUAGCACCCUUCCUUAAUAUCCCAGAUGAGUGACAGAGCCGCCUCCAAUCAGCGGAGUCGUGUGUGACUGCCGAGGCCAGCAAAGGCGGAACCAACGUUGGUGCCGCAGCCAAUCAAAACGGGCAAUAGCGUAAUGCACGUAGCCAAUGAAAUGAGUGAGCAGACGGAGAGGUCGCCGCAAUGCCAUAGAUACUUAUAAAGGCCCUCCUCUACACAAUAACAUGUCUGUAUUUGCUCUCUUCUGUUUUAACUGCAUGUGUAUGAAGAUUCUGUCUUAUAUAAAUUGUCCGACAAAAAUAAAGCUUGCCAUUUUCCUGUUAUAUUGUCACUUUGUAAUCUCAAUCAAAGAACAACAGUUAUUCCAAGGGAAACCGUCUAGCUAUCAAAUGCUAUUAUUAGUCAGACACACUGACCCAAAUCAGCCACUAUAAUUGUUCCUACAAUUGUGUUUAUUGUACAAUUUGAUUACAUAAAGAGGGAGGUGUGCAAGUUAAAACUAUGAAUUGAUACCCACGAAUAUACAAAAGUAAGGGAGAUAACUAGGAAUUAUGGCGUUUCCAACAGAAUAUUGUAUGAUAUCCACCUUAAAAUCCAGUUCAGCUUAUUUGUGGGUCUUUGAAAGUGUUUGCACUUAUAUUUUAAAUAUCAAAUACCAACGCCUCUCAUCCUCGAAAAAACUGAUUUGCUUCACUUGUCAGGCAGAGACUGAGCUGCUACUCCUACUGCAGUCACUGUGUGUGAGUUAUACAAAGCCAUGUUUAAGGACAUAAAAGGAAAUGAAAUGGGAUCUUUGUCCAAUAAAACCAUUUUCGGUGCAUCUGAACGUGGUACCCAUCCUGAACUGUGAAA
Gasterosteus aculeatus aculeatus (three-spined stickleback) is the source of this 1762-nucleotide long non-coding RNA. RefSeq lists it as uncharacterized. Lineage: Eukaryota; Metazoa; Chordata; Actinopteri; Perciformes; Gasterosteidae. The record is from RefSeq and is a predicted model, not a curated record.